Long non-coding RNA from Gadus morhua (Atlantic cod), 3000 nucleotides. The record is from Ensembl. Lineage: Eukaryota; Metazoa; Chordata; Actinopteri; Gadiformes; Gadidae.
AUGAGAACUACAAAGAUCUCCCAAGCCGGUGGCAGCGGCUCGGGCGAGGCCGCGGACAAACGGCCCUUUUCAGGGCCACCUGAGAGCGCUCCUAGAGCUAGGUCCUUUUCAGGACUCCUAUGCGCCUCCUGUCCCGCCUCCCUGGCACCGGGUGACGGGCACUUGGCGUGCUUUUGGUGCCUCGGCGCCGACCACGCCGCGGCUGCUAUGGCGGCCCCCGUCUCCUGUGUCGCCUGCCGGGAGCUGCCUGAAGAGGGGAUCCUCUCCAGGCAUCUCUUCUUUUCCCCUGCGGUGGAAAUGGCUGACGCCAUCGACCUAUUCGGACCUGACGUCGACGAUGGCAUCAUCGACGCCUCCCUGGACGACGUCUUCGGCGACUCGGCGUCCGGUUUUUCCCGCUCUCGGGUUACAACCGCCACCGUCAUACAACACGAGGGUCCGCGCCGGAUGACCGAUCUCUUCCGGGAGAUCAUGGGUGAGGCGGCGGCCAUCAAAGGGAUUCCCAUGCCGGCCCCGCCUCUCGCCCCCGUAUCUGACGAUAUGCAGGGCGAGUGCUUUUGCACCCCAUCUUUUUUCCGGCGGGUUACCCAGUGCCCCUUGUUCCCGCCUUUGCAGCACUUGUUUAUUGCUGCCGGUGAGGACCCUUCGACCCUGAAGGCUCCGGUAAGAUCCUACACGGAUUUCACCAACGUGGAGGGGUGGGCCGAUACUAAGGCGAGGGGGAUCCCUCGUCUGGAGCCUCCCCUGGCAGCGCUUCUCUGUCCGGGCGCCGGAUGGCUCCUUAACGAAAAGCCGCUGCCCCCUGACCGCCUCCAGAAGCAGAUUGUCGGCCUAACGGACAGGGUGUUCGUUUGUGCCUCUCAAUCCGCGGCGGCGGUCAGCAACAUCGCCCUGCUCUCCUCUGCCAUGGUCUCCUUGUCGGCUGACAGGGAGGCCUACGGCCCGGAGGAAGCCGCGAGAUGGCUGGCGGUUUCCCGCUUUUCCAGCGCCAUCCUCCAGUUAUGCCAGCCGAUAGCCGUUUCGGCCGGCCAGCAUAUGGCGUGGGCUACCAUGAUUCAAAGGGUCAUAUGGCUCUCCCACACUGCGGUGCCGGAACGAGAGCGGGCCAGCCUCGUCCAGGGUCCACUAGCGCCGGAUGGCCUAUUUGGUCCCAGGUUCUCCGAGGUGCUCGCGCACCAGCAGUCAGUCCGUGAGAAUCGUUCCCGGUUCGGGACGAUUCUCACGGGCUCCUCCCGCCAGCAGGCUGAGAGGAAGCGGGGUCUAGGCCGGUCCCAGCGUUCCAUGGGGCCGCCUCCGACUCCAGCCCCGGUGCAGCAGCCGCAGCCGCCGCGCACGGGGAGAGCAGCAGCGCCACGGACCGGGAAGUUCCGGACGCUUGCUCCUACUUUUUCUUUCCCUAUUAAAGAAAAGAGUAAAGACCGUUCGUCCCCCACCCUUUAUGGGGUUGAUGGAGACCACGCUACGGGACCCGGCUGCGAGCACGGCUCUGGCAGCAGAGGUGGCACGUCUCUUGGUAAAGGGGGCCAUCACUGUCGUUCCCCCCCACGAGUCUCACCUAGGUUUUUAUUCCCGCUACUUCCUGGUUUCCAAGAAGUCAGGGGAAAUGAGACCUAUUCUGGAUCUUCGCGUGUUCAACAGAUUCGUUGCCACGAGGAAGUUCAGAAUGCUCACGGUCGGAGCAUUGUUCCGGUGUGUGAGAGAGGACGAUUGGUUCACAUCCCUGGAUCUCAAGGAUGCUUACUUCCACGUCCCUGUUCGGCAGGCGCACAGGAAGUUUCUCCGCUUUGCCUUUAUGGGGAUGGCGUACGAGUACCAGUGUCUGCCGUUCGGCUAUUCCCUGGCUCCGCGCACCUUCUCGAAGUGUGUGGAGACGGCGUUGGAACCGCUCAGACGUCAGGGAAAGAGGAUUCUCUUCUACCUAGACGAUCUGCUUAUUCUGAGCAACUCAGAAGAGACCGUGAGAAGGGACACCAUGUUGGUGAUGAACCAUCUCUCCUUCCUGGGUUUUGCCAUCAACUGGGAGAAGAGCUCCCCGCUCCCCAGCCGGCAGACAGUCUACUUGGGGCUUUGCCUAGACUCAGCCACCAUGACUGCGAUGCUUUCGCCUCCUCGGCGAGACGCCAUCCUGUCGGCGCUCUCCCGUUUUCACGUUCGCAGAAACGUGACCGCACUGUCCACCAUGCGCCUGUUGGGGCUGAUGGCAGCUGCCCACCCCGUGGUCCCCCUGGGUCUGCUUUUUAUGCGCAGACUCCAGCGGUGGUUUGCUCGCCAACGGUUGGACCCCAGGCGACACAAGCUCAGGGUGCUCCUCGUCCCCCGUUCGGUGUCGCCAGACCUGGAAUAUUGGAAAGGACCCUCCGCCCUUCUCAAGGGUGUUCCACUGGGCAGGGUGGCGUCCUACGUAGUGGUCUUCACGGACGCCUCGUUGACGGGUUGGGGAGGAACGUGCCUCUCUCACUCGGUCGGAGACGAGUGGCGCACGCCCCCUACAGCACACAUAAAUGUGUUGGAGCUCGACGCUGUGAGGAAAGUGCUGUUGCAUUUCUUUCACCUGGUGCGCGGCCGCCACGUUCUGAUCAGGAAAGACAGCGUGUCGGCGGCGGCGUACAUCAACAGACAGGGGGGAGUCCGCUCCCCUGCUCUCCACCGAAAGGCGGUCGAGCUCUGGCUUUGGGCUCAUCAGUAUCACCGCAGUCUGAGAGCCCUGCAUAUCGUGGGCGCCCAGAACUUUGGGGCGGACCUCAUGUCUCGAGGCGGUCCCCGCCGAGACGAGUGGCGGUUACAUCCCGACAUUGUCAGACUGAUCUGGCAGAGGUUCGGGACAGCGCAGGUGGACCUCUUCGCGUCCCGGGAGAACACGCACUGCAGGUGGUGGUUCUCCCUCAGCCCUCGGGAUCUUCCCCCGUUGGGGGUAGAUGCGUUGGCACACACACCUUGGCCGCGGGCUCUCUUGUAUGUGUGGCCUGUGGGAUUAGGUCUUCUCUCUCUGUCUCGUGCUGA